AGUAAACUUGCGUCGUUUGAUGGGAAAAAAGCUAUUCGUGGCGGUAUACCUUUUGUGUUUCUCCUAGAAGAAGAAGAAUCAAAGAAAUAUUUGUAACACCAGGCCCGCUGGGAGUUCAAUAACGUAGUUACUGGAGGAUAAAAAUAAAUUGUAUAUCGGUGUGACGGCCUCAAAGACCUCAGCAGCAAAAUAUACCUACGAGGGGAAGUCAAUAAGUUCGUGGAAUUAAGGGGUUGAAGAGGAGUGACAAAUUAUGUGUUUACCUAGCACUACUUCGCCACUCAUUGCCUCUAUGCACUAUUGAAUGUUUAUUUAUUUAUCUACUUAUUUCAAAAGUCAAUAAACUACAAAGGUUCUAACUGACUAAAACGAUACAGAGAACUAAAGUGCAGAAGGCACUAAAAUAAAA
This is a long non-coding RNA of Rhagoletis pomonella (apple maggot), 409 nucleotides long. RefSeq lists it as uncharacterized. Lineage: Eukaryota; Metazoa; Arthropoda; Insecta; Diptera; Tephritidae. The transcript is spliced from 2 exons. The record is from RefSeq and is a predicted model, not a curated record.